CUAUUAUGGAGAGUUUGAUCCUGGCUCAGGACGAACGCUGGCGGCGUGCCUAAUACAUGCAAGUCGAGCGGAUUUAUCCUUCGGGAUAAGUUAGCGGCGGAC
This 102-nucleotide ribosomal RNA is filed under the name Paenibacillus sp. Soil724D2. RNAcentral's name for it is "partial 16S ribosomal RNA". It matches the Rfam family "Bacterial small subunit ribosomal RNA", at positions 1 to 103 of the family's 1533-position model. The record is from RNAcentral. Lineage: Bacteria; Bacillati; Bacillota; Bacilli; Caryophanales; Paenibacillaceae.